AGGGUUGUUUCAACGUUAGAGAGAGAGAGAGAGAGAGAGAGGGGUCAGCGGAGGAAGAAGAAGGAGAAGAGAAAAGGGAUUAGGGUUAGCCUUGAAUUGAAGCUUAUUAGGUAAUUUUCAUCUUCUUAGAUACUGAAAUUCAUGUUUUCCAUGCUAGGUCUUCCAUUCUGUAUCUAAUAUGUUCUGAAUUAGAACCAUGGGAGAGGGUUUCUAAGGUUGGAAUUGAGUCUUAUUUCAGAAAAUUCGUGUAUCACAUGGUUAUACUUAACUGUGUUUUGAGAAAGUAGUUAAUCUGUCCUGUUUUUGACAAAUUUUUCCCAUCGAUGUGCUGAUCAUGUUAUUUUUUGAUAAUUUUACUGUAGAUGCCUCUGUGAGUGUAGUUUAUGCUGCAAAAAUUUCAAAAUUUUCUGAAUAGUAUGGAAAAAGAUAAAAAUCAUGAAUCGAACUGGUGUCUAAUUCGCGUCUGGGCAGACAGCCCAGACACGUGUUGGAAAAACGGGCAUAACUUCUUGCUCGGGUAUCGGUUUUACGCACCGUUUCUUGAUUCCGAAACUAGACUCAUAUAUCUUUCUGAAUAUGUAUGGUUUGUGUCGUGGUUCUUUCUAGAUUAUAGCAGUUUUUGAAUUAAAGUUCAGGUUUUGGUACUUCUGAAAUUCUGGACAGCUUUUGGCUUGUGUUCGUCAUGAAAUUUCUCAAGUUUAAGCAUGCUGGGCGGACAUGGGUUCUCAUGAGUCUUAAACAUGGAUCAAUUGGUGAUGUUUUGGUGUUGGAAUUAUUGGAAAAUAUUGAGUAUGUGAUUUUUAAUGAGCUUUCGAUCGCAGACUGUUCUGCUGAAAACUGUGAAUUCUGCUUUAGAUGUGUAACUUCAUUUGAGCGUAUCUUGGUCAUUCAGACUCCGUUUAGGACAAAUUUUAUAUCAAAAUUCAUGUACCGGAGGUGUACUUUCUAAUGAUGGUGGUUUCAUAAUCUGGUUUUAACCCUAUAAGAAGUUAUAGGCAGAAUACGACAGGCUGGUCAUAGAUUUCAAACCAAAUGUAGGGGUUAUGUGGUGUUUGAGUGUUACGCUUGUUUAGGGACACUUCUAAACCUUUGAGAUAGACAUGUUAGUAUGCGUUAAGUAUUGUUAAUCUAUUGUUGGUGUUAUAGAGUAUUGUUAGGAGGUAGUUUUGACGUUUAAGCGUUCAAUAAACUGAUAUGGUUAGCUUGUGGUUAGGUAACAAGCCGAUCAAUUGGAGAGGUUCCGAAACUGUAAGUUUGGCAUACCUCGGUCGAUACAAGGUAGCAGGUUGCGUAGAGUGGGUCCACUACCGGUCAUCGUGUUGAGAAGUGUUUGGGCUAGCAUUAGAUGAUGUGGAUGAACGAGUUGGUUGUAGGUAGUAAACUAAAAAGUUGAUUUAUGUUAGUUAUAAAUAAGUCGUUGGUGGAUGUAUUGAAGUGUAGAAUUUUUAAAGUAUUGUAAAACUAUAUUGUUGUUUAGUUGUGUGAGGUCGUGGUUGGUUGGUCGAUACGUCGACUCAUUUUUAUGUUAA
Molecule: long non-coding RNA, 1529 nt
Organism: Rhododendron vialii
Lineage: Eukaryota; Viridiplantae; Streptophyta; Magnoliopsida; Ericales; Ericaceae
Exons: 2
Source: RefSeq, a predicted model, not a curated record